CUCAUUCCAGCCACUGAGGAGGAGAAAAGGGCUGGGUGGAGGCACUCUCCUUACCUGUCAAGGCAUAACCAGCAAUUGCCAUUAUCACUUCCACUCACGCUCCAUUGGGCAGACCUAGUCACGUGGUCAGACUGCGCCAGGUAGGAAGCUGGGAAACGUCUUGAGUGCAGUCAAGCAUAGGCUCACCUAAAAUUGCUGACACUGUAGAGUGACGGGAGAGUGGAGGCUGCUGACAGCCUGCAUCUCUGCUGCAUGCCCACGUCAGCCUCUGAAAUGUCUGAGUGAGGAAAUGCACUUAAAGCUGUCAAUUACCCCAUGUACUGCUUUACACAUCCUACAAGUUAAUCUGAGGUACUUUCAUUGUCCCUCACUCGAAAUAUUUUCUAAUUUUCAUUGUAAUGUUCUCUUC
This 409-nucleotide long non-coding RNA is filed under the name Equus caballus (horse). Its description in RNAcentral is "lncRNA (ENSECAG00000057326.1)". Lineage: Eukaryota; Metazoa; Chordata; Mammalia; Perissodactyla; Equidae. The record is from RNAcentral.